This is a long non-coding RNA of Xenopus laevis (African clawed frog), 589 nucleotides long. RefSeq lists it as uncharacterized. The record is from RefSeq and is a predicted model, not a curated record. The transcript has 3 exons. NCBI's taxonomy places the organism in Eukaryota, Metazoa, Chordata, Amphibia, Anura, Pipidae.
UAUUUCGUUCAAGAAUUAACAAAAACUGUAGAUAUAAUGUAUAAUAUAAUGUAAAGAAAGGUCCUUACUGUCCCUUUAAGCAACUUAACUUCAGGGUUUAGUUCAACUUAACAACAAAUCCUUUCUUUUCUUUUUUUAAGGAGGUACCAAAGAAAAUUGAUAACAGCACCACAAAUAUAAAUAUCACGAAAAAGGAAGAAAUAAAUAGAAAAGAAAUAAAAAAAGAAAAGUGUGCCUACCGUACCCAAGAAGACUUUAGCAAGGUUUGGAUAACAUAACAUACUUUAUUGAAUCCUUUAAACAUACUGUACUUUUACCUCAUAUUUUGGCACCCCCAGUAAAUAAACCUUUCCUUGUACUUUAUAUAAUAAUUGUAGCAGUUUCACCCAAUAAACUCAGAUUAUCUAAUGAAACAUUUUUUCUCUUUCCCAGGAGGAUGAUAAAGAUCCAUUUGCCAAAUACCCAGAGCCCAGGGGAAAUGUAAAACUUGGAGAGGCCAUCGGAGAAGGCAAUUUUGGAGUUGUCCAUAUGGGUUGGCAUAAUAUCAAACGCAAAGAAGUGGCCGUUAAAAUAAUAAAGGAAAUAAAGG